GUGGGGAAUUUUGGACAAUGGGCGCAAGCCUGAUCCAGCAAUGCCGCGUGCAGGAAGAAGGCCUUCGGGUUGUAAACUGCUUUUGUACGGAACGAAACGGUCCGGGUUAAUACCCUGGGCUAAUGACGGUACCGUAAGAAUAAGCACCGGCUAACUUCGUGCCAGCAGCCGCGGUAAUACGAAGGGUGCAAGCGUUAAUCGGAAUUACUGGGCGUAAAGCGCGCGUAGGUGGUUUUGUAAGUUGGAGGUGAAAUCCCCGGGCUCAACCUGGGAAUUGCGCUUGUGACUGCAAGGUUGGAGUGCGGCAGAGGGGGAUGGAAUUCCGCGUGUAGCAGUGAAAUGCGUAGAUAUGCGGAGGAACACCGAUGGCGAAGGCAAUCCCCUGGGCCUGCACUGACGCUCAUGCACGAAAGCGUGGGGAGCAAACAGGAUUAGAAACCCUGGUAGUCC
RNAcentral lists this ribosomal RNA (450 nucleotides) under uncultured bacterium. Its description in RNAcentral is "partial 16S ribosomal RNA". It matches the Rfam family "Bacterial small subunit ribosomal RNA", at positions 354 to 796 of the family's 1533-position model. The record is from RNAcentral.